Molecule: ribosomal RNA, 497 nt
Filed under: uncultured bacterium
Lineage: Bacteria
Description: partial 16S ribosomal RNA
Rfam family: Bacterial small subunit ribosomal RNA
Source: RNAcentral
GAUGAACGCUGGCGGCGUGCCUAAUACAUGCAAGUCGAGCGAACGGACGAGAAGCUUGCUUCUCUGAUGUUAGCGGCGGACGGGUAAGUAACACGUGGAUAACCUACCUAUAAGACUGGGAUAACUUCGGGAAACCGGAGCUAAUACCGGAUAAUAUUUUGAACCGCAUGGUUCAAAAGUGAAAGACGGUCUUGCUGUCACUUAUAGAUGGAUCCGCGCUGCAUUAGCUAGUUGGUAAGGUAACGGCUUACCAAGGCAACGAUGCAUAGCCGACCUGAGAGGGUGAUCGGCCACACUGGAACUGAGACACGGUCCAGACUCCUACGGGAGGCAGCAGUAGGGAAUCUUCCGCAAUGGGCGAAGGCCUGACGGAGCAACGCCGCGUGAGUGAUGAAGGUCUUCGGAUCGUAAAACUCUGUUAUUAGGGAAGAACAUAUGUGUAAGUAACUGUGCACAUCUUGACGGUACCUAAUCAGAAAGCCACGGCUAACUACAUG